RNAcentral lists this ribosomal RNA (274 nucleotides) under uncultured bacterium. RNAcentral describes it as "partial 16S ribosomal RNA". It matches the Rfam family "Bacterial small subunit ribosomal RNA", at positions 84 to 354 of the family's 1533-position model. The record is from RNAcentral.
CCCGCCGGCGACCGGCGCACGGGUGAGUAACACGUAUGAAACCUGCCCGUAGCAGGGGGAUAAGCGGAAGAAAUUCCGUCUAAUACCGCGUAACAACCCGAGGAGGCAUCUCCUCGGGUUUAAAGGAAGCGAUUCCGGCUACGGAUGGUCAUGCGUCGCAUUAGCUAGUUGGCGGGGUAACGGCCCACCAAGGCGACGAUGCGUAGGGGUUCUGAGAGGAAGGUCCCCCACACUGGUACUGAGACACGGACCAGACUCCUACGGGAGGCAGCAG